Cydia fagiglandana is the source of this 73-nucleotide non-coding RNA. Lineage: Eukaryota; Metazoa; Arthropoda; Insecta; Lepidoptera; Tortricidae. The record is from the annotation of a RefSeq genome assembly.
GUCUUGGUAGCUCAGAUGGCAGGGCACUGGGCUAGCGACCCAAUGGUCGAGGGUUCAAGUACCUCCCAAGACA